RNAcentral lists this ribosomal RNA (647 nucleotides) under uncultured marine eukaryote. RNAcentral describes it as "SSU rRNA". It matches the Rfam family "Eukaryotic small subunit ribosomal RNA", at positions 617 to 1266 of the family's 1831-position model. The record is from RNAcentral.
GGUUAAAAAGCUCGUAGUUGGAUCUUGGAAUGUGAACGCGAGGUCGCUUUACUGAGUGAACUUUGUGGCGCAUUCUUCCAUUUGGUCGGUGUGUUUGUGCUCUUAAUUGAGUGCAACAUGCUACCAGAAAUUUUACCUUGAAAAAAUUAGAGUGUUCAAAGCAGACCUUUUUGUGUCUGAAUAUUCGUGCAUGGAAUAAUAAAAUAUGAAUUCGGUUCUAUUUUAUUGGUUUUCGGAACUCGAGUUAAUGAUUAAGAGGGACAGACGGGGGCAUCCGUACUCUGCCGUUAGAGGUGAAAUUCUUGGAUCGGCGGAAGACGCGCAACUGCGAAAGCAUUUGCCAAGAAUGUUUUCUUUAAUCAAGAACGAUAGUCGGAGGUUCGAAGACGAUCAGAUACCGUCCUAGUUUCGACUGUAAACUAUGCCAGCUAACGAUCAGACAGCGUUCUCUACGACUUGUCUGGCAGUUUCCGGGAAACCAAAGCUUUUGGGUUCCGGGGGAAGUAUGGUUGCAAAGCUGAAACUUAAAGGAAUUGACGGAAGGGCACCACCAGGAGUGGAGCCUGCGGCUUAAUUUGACUCAACACGGGGAAACUCACCCGGCCCGGACACAGUGAGGAUUGACAGAUUGAGAGUUCUUUCUUGAU